UUAAAAUUGGAUGACAUUUUAACUUCAAAAUGCCUGAACUGUCAGCCUAAUUUCAACUCUAUCAUUAUGAUUCUCUUUUUGUUUGCUUAGGCAAAGACAGCACCUGGUCCUACUGCUUUCCAACAAUGAUGCAUUUGCAAUCUCGUGUGUUUUACAUUCCCCGCUAUGAUCAUCUGAUCCUCUUCCACGCCUGCAACCUUAAUUUCUAUUCAUAUUUCUCUGCUGCUGCUGCUAAGUCACUUCAGUCGUGCCUGACUCUGUGCGACCCCAUAGAUGGCAGCCCACCAGGCUCCCCCGUCCCUGGGAUUCUCCAGGCAAGAACACUGGAGUGGGUUGCCAUUUCCUUUUCCACUGCAUGAAAG
Molecule: long non-coding RNA, 362 nt
Filed under: Capra hircus (goat)
Lineage: Eukaryota; Metazoa; Chordata; Mammalia; Artiodactyla; Bovidae
Description: lncRNA (ENSCHIG00000007108.1)
Source: RNAcentral